CCUACGGGAGGCAGCAGUGGGGAAUAUUGCGCAAUGGGGGCAACCCUGACGCAGCAACGCCGCGUGAAUGAAGAAGGUCUUCGGAUCGUAAAGUUCUGUCGAAGGGGAAGAAAUAAAUGACGGUACCCUUAGAGGAAGCCCCGGCUAACUACGUGCCAGCAGCCGCGGUAAUACGUAGGGGGCAAGCGUUGUCCGGAUUUACUGGGCGUAAAGGGCGUGUAGGCGGUUUUUUAAGUCAGAUGUGAAAGUUCGGGGCUCAACCCCGGAAUUGCAUUUGAAACUGGAGAACUUGAGUACUGGAGAGGUAAGUGGAAUUCCUAGUGUAGCGGUGAAAUGCGUAGAUAUUAGGAGGAACACCAGUGGCGAAGGCGACUUACUGGACAGAUACUGACGCUGAGGCGCGAAAGCGUGGGGAGCGAACA
This 422-nucleotide ribosomal RNA is filed under the name uncultured bacterium. RNAcentral describes it as "bacterial SSU rRNA". It matches the Rfam family "Bacterial small subunit ribosomal RNA", at positions 338 to 774 of the family's 1533-position model. The record is from RNAcentral.